UGGGGAUCGAGAUUCACUCCAAACCCAUGUGACAUACCUACUGUUGCUUCGGCGGGAUUGCCCCGGGCGCCUCGUGUGCCCCGGAUCAGGCGCCCGCCUAGGAAACUUAACUCUUGUUUUAUUUUGGAAUCUUCUGAGUAGUUUUUACAAAUAAAUAAAAACUUUCAACAACGGAUCUCUUGGUUCUGGCAUCGAUGAAGAACGCAGCGAAAUGCGAUAAGUAAUGUGAAUUGCAGAAUUCAGUGAAUCAUCGAAUCUUUGAACGCACAUUGCGCCCGCCAGUAUUCUGGCGGGCAUGCCUGUCUGAGCGUCAUUUCAACCCUCAUGCCCCUAGGGCGUGGUGUUGGGGAUCGGCCAAAGCCCGCGAGGGACGGCCGGCCCCUAAAUCUAGUGGCGGACCCGUCGUGGCCUCCUCUGCGAAGUAGUGAUAUUCCGCAUCGGAGAGCGACGAGCCCCUGCCGUUAAACCCCCAACUUUCCAAGGUUGACCUCAGAUCAGGUAGGAAUACCCGCUGAACUUAAGCAUAUCAAUAAGCGGAGGAA
RNAcentral lists this ribosomal RNA (542 nucleotides) under Clonostachys rosea. RNAcentral's name for it is "eukaryotic LSU rRNA". The stretch from base 160 to 313 matches the Rfam family "5.8S ribosomal RNA". The record is from RNAcentral. Lineage: Eukaryota; Fungi; Ascomycota; Sordariomycetes; Hypocreales; Bionectriaceae.